UUUAUAAAUAUAUUGAAUAGUAAUUAUAUCCCUACAACGUUCAACUUUUUAUGUUUAUCUUUGCAAAAGUCCAGUAAUAUUCAUAUUUUCCUCCGGUUUAUUACUAUUAGAGCAUUAUUUUUUUUUAAUAGAAGAUAAGUAAAAUAAUAUUUUUGUUAUAAUAAAUAUGUCCUUCCAAAAGCCUCAAUUAUUAGAAUUUUACGGAAAUGUCCUUCCAAAAAUCUCCGACGAUUAUUUUUUUUUUCUACCAUCACGAAUAACAUAAGAGGGGUAAAAAAAAUUAAUUUAUCUCGUUCGCUAAACAAAAUUAAUAUUUUAUCUAUGAUUAACUAUGUUUUUCUAAUGGAUCUCACAAUGGGGAUUUAUUUAAAAAUAUUAUGACUUUUGCAGAAAUAAUUAUAAAAGUUUAAUUUUGUAAAUAUAUAUUUGUUAUUCGAUAUGUUUAUAAGGAGCUGUAUGCAAUUAAUUCAUCUACUUAAGAAGCAAAAGUUAGUUGAUUAAUAAUACUAAAGAUUGGGGCGUUUACAUAGCAUUACUCACCUUAGGGCGUGUUUGGUUCGCUUAUUUUUUACCCUGGAAUCGGAAUCGAACUCGGCGAAUCCGUUUGUGGGUAUUUAGUAUGCGGGAAUUCCAUUCCGAUUUCGAUUUCCGAGUGGAAUGGGAAUCCCCCAAUCACCUUUUUUUUUCAAUCCGCCCUAGAAGGUCGUAUUGGAAGUUGAAUCCGGACGGAAUUAAUAUUUACUGGGAUUAAAUUUAUUUUUCAACUUUUUUUAAUUAAAAUAUGAGUUUAAAUUUAGAAAUUAAAUUUGUAAUUUUAAAUUUUAAUUUUAAUUUGAAUUAAAAAUUAAAAUUUAAUCAAGUAUUUCGAAUCUAACUUAUGAAUUUGAAUUUAAAUUAAAUUUUAAUUUAUAUAAAGUUUUAUUCAAAUUUUAUUUAAAACUUAAAGUAAAUUUAUGGAUUCAAAUUAAAAUUUAAAUUGUAAUUUUAAGUUUGAAUUUGAAUAAAUUGAAAUUUAGUUUU
This 1020-nucleotide long non-coding RNA is filed under the name Ananas comosus (pineapple). RNAcentral's name for it is "long non-coding RNA (ACOM_LNC030577)". Lineage: Eukaryota; Viridiplantae; Streptophyta; Magnoliopsida; Poales; Bromeliaceae. The record is from RNAcentral.